RNAcentral lists this ribosomal RNA (468 nucleotides) under uncultured bacterium. Its description in RNAcentral is "partial 16S ribosomal RNA". It matches the Rfam family "Bacterial small subunit ribosomal RNA", at positions 28 to 507 of the family's 1533-position model. The record is from RNAcentral.
GACGAACGCUGGCGGCGUGCUUAACACAUGCAAGUCGAACGGAAAGGCCCUGCUUUUGUGGGGUGCUCGAGUGGCGAACGGGUGAGUAACACGUGAGUAACCUGCCCUUGACUUUGGGAUAACUUUAGGAAACUGGGGCUAAUACCGGAUAGGAGCUCCUGCUGCAUGGUGGGGGUUGGAAAGUUUCGGCGGUUGGGGAUGGACUCGCGGCUUAUCAGCUUGUUGGUGGGGUAGUGGCUUACCAAGGCUUUGAAGGGUAGCCGGCCUGAGAGGGUUACCGGCCACAUUGGGACUGCGAUACGGCCCAGACUCCUACGGGCGGCAGCAGUGGGGAGUAUUGCACAAUGGGCGGACGCCUGAUGCAGCAACGCCGCGUGCGGGAUGACGGCCUUCGGGUUGUGAACCGCUUUCGCCUGUGACGAAGCGUGAGUGACGGUAAUGGGUAAAGAAGCACCGGCUAACUACGUG